Molecule: long non-coding RNA, 436 nt
Organism: Gallus gallus (chicken)
Lineage: Eukaryota; Metazoa; Chordata; Aves; Galliformes; Phasianidae
Source: Ensembl
UCUGAGAUGACUGGGAGCAGACAUUCUGAAUUUUCUAGCUGCAGGUGACCAACUCCAGAGAUCAUUCCCUCCCUGUCUCCCUUCCAGAGAACAUGGUUUCUUCAGAUGCUCUGAAGAAGCUGCUUAGAGACUAGAUGGUGCAGUCUGCAUACGAGAUGAGGCAACCCUGGAUAUACAUACAGUCUGGGAUUCUGGUUGAUGAGCUACAUCAUUGGCUACACCAUAUCAGAACCACUGGCUACCUAAAUGGCAAACUAGCUUCUGUCUCCUGUUGCUCCUCAUGCCUCCAUAUCUCCCAGUCUGAGUCUCAACAGGGUUUUCUACUGUUGCUUCUUAAGUUCAACAGAGUAAGGAAAGAAUGGGAAGCACACUGUGCAGUUGAAGUCAGAAGAUGUGGAAGGGAGGAGAGGAAAACUGAAGGAAGCACACUUCAGAG